This 213-nucleotide long non-coding RNA is filed under the name Vigna radiata. Its description in RNAcentral is "long non-coding RNA (VRAD_LNC018227)". The record is from RNAcentral. Lineage: Eukaryota; Viridiplantae; Streptophyta; Magnoliopsida; Fabales; Fabaceae.
GUGUGCAUAUUUCAACUCAAUCCGCGUGUGAGCCUGUGCAGGGUUUUGGAAAAUGCAAAGCAAGCUUGUAAGCUUUAAAGAUUCACAAAACAAAAUAAAAGAAAUAACACACUAAGGAGUUCCCUUUUUCUAGCCAUAACCUGGAUGCUUCAUGUUGCACCACUUUUAUAAGAAGGUAAAUUAAAAAUGCAAUGUGUGGGUGGCUGUUGCCCC